GGGUUGUGAGGUUAAGCGACCAAGCGUACACGGUGGAUGCCCUGGCAGUCAGAGGCGAUGAAGGACGUGCUAAUCUGCGAUAAGCGCCGGUAAGGUGAUAUGAACCGUUAUAACCGGCGAUUUCCGAAUGGGGAAACCCAGUGUGAUUCGUCACACUAUCAUUACGUGAAUACAUAGCGUAAUGA
This 185-nucleotide ribosomal RNA is filed under the name Salmonella enterica subsp. diarizonae. RNAcentral describes it as "partial 23S ribosomal RNA". It matches the Rfam family "Bacterial large subunit ribosomal RNA", at positions 1 to 177 of the family's 2925-position model. The record is from RNAcentral. Lineage: Bacteria; Pseudomonadati; Pseudomonadota; Gammaproteobacteria; Enterobacterales; Enterobacteriaceae.